Molecule: unclassified non-coding RNA, 155 nt
Filed under: Flavobacterium aquidurense
Lineage: Bacteria; Pseudomonadati; Bacteroidota; Flavobacteriia; Flavobacteriales; Flavobacteriaceae
Description: Flavo-1 RNA
Source: RNAcentral
UUCUAGCCCAGAUUGCAGUGGAAAGCCCGGAAUAAAAAAAGCUGAUUUUUCUUGCCAUAAAACAGCGACCGGAGGAAGCUCGUUUUGUGGCUUAGAAAAAUAGCUUGUUUUAUGUCCCGAUAACUAUCGGGAUGAAACGGAAAGCUGGAAUAGCU